Molecule: long non-coding RNA, 910 nt
Organism: Oncorhynchus tshawytscha (Chinook salmon)
Lineage: Eukaryota; Metazoa; Chordata; Actinopteri; Salmoniformes; Salmonidae
Source: Ensembl
GGUUGGGGCUUUCAUCAAGGUGUUUCUAUAGGUUGGGGGCUUUCAACAAGGUAAGUGUUUCUAUAGGUUGGGGGCUUUCAUCAAGGUGUUUCUAUAGGUUGGGGGCUUUCAACAAGGUUAGUGUUUCUAUAGGUUGGGGGCUUUCAUCAAGGUUAGUGUUUCUAUAGGUUAGGGGCUUUCAUCAAGGUGUUUCUAUAGGUUGGGGGCUUUCAUCAAGGUGUUUCUAUAGGUUGGGGGCUUUCAUCAAGGUGUUUCUAUAGGUUGGGGGCUUUCAUCAAGGUGUUUCUAUAGGUGGGGGCUUUCAACAAGGUUAGUGUUUCUAUAGGUUGGGGGCUUUCAUCAAGGUUAGUGUUUCUAUAGGUUGGGGGCUUUCAUCAAGGUGUUUCUUUAGGUUGGGGGCUUUCAUCAAGGUUAGUGUUUCUAUAGGUUGGGGGCUUUCAUCAAGGUUAGUGUUUCUUUAGGUUGGGGGCUUUCAUCAAGGUUAGUGUUUCUUUAGGUUGGGGGCUUACAUCAAGGUAAGUGUUUCUUUAGGUUAGGGGCUUUCAACAAGGUUAGUGUUUCUUUAGGUUGGGGGCUUUCAUCAAGGUUAGUGUUUCUUUAGGUUGGGGGCUUUCAUCAAGGUUAGUGUUUCUUUAGGUUGGGGGCUUUCAACAAGGUUAGUGUUUCUAUAGGUUAGGGGCUUUCAACAAGGUUAGUGUUUCUAUAGGUUCGGGGCUUUCAUCAAGGUGUUUCUUUAGGUUGGGGGCUUUCAUCAAGGUGUUUCUUUAGGUUGGGGGCUUUCAUCAAGGUUAGUGUUUCUUUAGGUUGGGGGCUUUCAUCAAGGUGUUUCUUUAGGUUGGGGGCUUUCAUCAAGGUUAGUGUUUCUAUAGGUUGGGGGCUUUCAUCAAGGUUAGUGUUUCUUUAGGUUGGG